GAUCUCAAAUCAAGUAAGACUACCCGCUGAACUUAAGCAUAUCAAUAAGCGGAGGAAAAGAAACUAACAAGGAUUCCCCUAGUAACGGCGAGUGAAGCGGGAUGAGCUCAAAUUUAAAAUCUGGCUGGCUUACUAGUCCGAAUUGUAGUUUAAAGAAGCGUUUUCGGUGGCAGUCUCGGUAUAAAUCCUUUGGAAUAGGGUAUCAUAGAGGGUGAGAAUCCCGUCUUUGACUGAGAAUUUGCUACUAUGUGAUACGUUUUCAAAGAGUCGAGUUGUUUGGGAAUGCAGCUCAAAAUGGGUGGUAAAUUUCAUCUAAAGCUAAAUAUUGGCGAGAGACCGAUAGCGAACAAGUACCGUGAGGGAAAGAUGAAAAGAACUUUGAAAAGAGAGUUAAACAGUGCGUGAAAUUGUUGAAAGGGAAACGCUUGAAACCAG
This 435-nucleotide ribosomal RNA is filed under the name uncultured fungus. RNAcentral's name for it is "eukaryotic LSU rRNA". It matches the Rfam family "Eukaryotic large subunit ribosomal RNA", at positions 1 to 432 of the family's 3401-position model. Lineage: Eukaryota; Fungi. The record is from RNAcentral.